Molecule: ribosomal RNA, 301 nt
Filed under: uncultured bacterium
Lineage: Bacteria
Description: partial 16S ribosomal RNA
Rfam family: Bacterial small subunit ribosomal RNA
Source: RNAcentral
CAGUAGCCACGGGAAUACGAGGGGGGCAAGCGUUGUUCGGAAUUAUUGGGCGUAAAGGGUGCGUAGGCGGCUUGACAAGUCUUGUGUGAAAUCUAUGGGCUCAACCCAUAGUCUGCACGGGAAACUGUCGGGCUUGAGAAUGGGAGAGGUGAGUGGAAUUUCCGGUGUAGCGGUGAAAUGCGUAGAUAUCGGAAGGAACACCUGUGGCGAAAGCGGCUCACUGGACCAUUUCUGACGCUGAUGCACGAAAGCUAGGGGAGCAAACAGGAUUAGAUACCCCAGUAGUCCCUGUCUCUUAUAC